Molecule: ribosomal RNA, 413 nt
Filed under: uncultured soil bacterium
Lineage: Bacteria
Description: bacterial SSU rRNA
Rfam family: Bacterial small subunit ribosomal RNA
Source: RNAcentral
AGAUUGAACGCUGGCGGAAUGCUUUACACAUGCAAGUCGAACGGCAGCACGGGGGCAACCCUGGUGGCGAGUGGCGCACGGGUGAGUAAUACAUCGGAACGUAUCCUAGAGUGGGGGAUAGCCCGGCGAAAGCCGGAUUAAUACCGCAUACGCUCGAAAGAGGAAAGUGGGGGAUCGUAAGACCUCACGCCCAAGGAGCGGCCGAUGCCGGAUUAGCUUGUUGGUGAGGUAAAAGCUCACCAAGGCGACGAUCCGUAGCUGGUCUGAGAGGACGACCAGCCACACUGGGACUGAGACACGGCCCAGACUCCGUACGGGAGCAGCAGGUGGGGAAUUUGGAACUAAGUCGGGGGAAACCCUGGACUCCGAGCCAGUCCGCGUGAGUAGAAGGAGGUCCGUUACGGGUGUAAGUC